CAACUUUUAACAACGGAUCUCUUGGCUCUCGCAUCGAUGAAGAACGCAGCGAAAUGCGAUAAGUAAUGUGAAUUGCAGAAUUCAGUGAAUCAUCGAAUCUUUGAACGCACCUUGCGCUCCUUGGUAUUCCGAGGAGCAUGCCUGUUUGAGUGUCAUAA
This 158-nucleotide ribosomal RNA is filed under the name Chrysomphalina grossula. RNAcentral describes it as "5.8S ribosomal RNA". It matches the Rfam family "5.8S ribosomal RNA". Rfam says of the family: 5.8S ribosomal RNA (5.8S rRNA) is a component of the large subunit of the eukaryotic ribosome. The record is from RNAcentral. Lineage: Eukaryota; Fungi; Basidiomycota; Agaricomycetes; Agaricales; Hygrophoraceae.